Molecule: ribosomal RNA, 497 nt
Filed under: uncultured bacterium
Lineage: Bacteria
Description: partial 16S ribosomal RNA
Rfam family: Bacterial small subunit ribosomal RNA
Source: RNAcentral
GAUGAACGCUGGCGGCGUGCCUAAUACAUGCAAGUCGAGCGAACGGACGAGAAGCUUGCUUCUCUGAUGUUAGCGGCGGACGGGUGAGUAACACGUGGAUAACCUACCUAUAAGACUGGGAUAACUUCGGGAAACCGUAGCUAAUACCGGAUAAUAUUUUGAACCGCAUGGUUCAAAAGUGAAAGACGGUCUUGCUGUCACUUAUAGAUGGAUCCGCGCUGCAUUAGCUAGUUGGUAAGGUAACGGCUUACCAAGGCAACGAUGCAUAGCCGACCUGAGAGGGUGAUCGGCCACACUGGAACUGAGACACGGUCCAGACUCCUACGGGAGGCAGCAGUAGGGAAUCUUCCGCAAUGGGCGAAAGCCUGACGGAGCAACGCCGCGUGAGUGAUGAAGGUCUUCGGAUCUUAAAACUCUGUUAUUAGGGAAGAACAUAUGUGUAAGUAACUGUGCACAUCUUGACGGUACCUAAUCAGAAAGCCACGGCUAACUACGUG